GGAGUAUGGACCGUGUCUCAGUUCCAUUGUGGCCGUUCAUCCUCUCAGACCGGCUACCGAUCGUCGGCUUGGUGCGCUUUUAUCACACCAACUACCUAAUCGGACGCAGGCUCCUCGCAAAGCGAUAAAUCUUUAGUAACAAAGUCAUGCGACUCCACUACAACAUCCGGUAUUAGCGUCCCUUUCGGGACGUUGUCCCCGACUUUGCGGCAGAUUACCUGCGCUUUACUCACCCGUUCGCCACUAGCACCGAAGUGCCCGUUCGACUUGCAUGUGUUAAGCACGCCGCCAGCGUUCGUCCUCGAGCCACUGAUCAAACUACU
RNAcentral lists this ribosomal RNA (323 nucleotides) under uncultured Veillonellaceae bacterium. RNAcentral describes it as "partial 16S ribosomal RNA". The record is from RNAcentral. Lineage: Bacteria; Bacillati; Bacillota; Negativicutes; Veillonellales; Veillonellaceae.